CCUACGGGAGGCAGCAGUGAGGAAUAUUGGUCAAUGGGCGCAAGCCUGAACCAGCCAAGUCGCGUGAGGGAUGACGGUCCUAUGGAUUGUAAACCUCUUUUGUCGGGGAGCAAGGCCCGCCACGUGUGGCGGGAAGGAGAGGACCCGAAGAAAAAGCAGCGGCGAACGCCGUGCCAGCAGCCGCGGUAAUACGGAGGAUGCGAGCGUUAGCCGGAUGUAGUGGGGUGAAAGGGUGCGUAGGCGGAAGGUUAAGUCAGCGGUCAAAUGUCGGGGCUCAACACCGGCCUGCCGUUGAAACUGGUCUUCUUGAGUGAGCGAGAAGUAUGCGGAAUGCGUGUUGUCGCGGUGAAAUGCAUAGCUAUCACGCAGAACUCCGAUUGCGAAGGCAGCAUACCGGCGCUCAACUGACGCUGCGGCACGAAAGCGUGGGGAUCGAACAGGAUUAGAUACCCUUGUAGUC
Molecule: ribosomal RNA, 460 nt
Filed under: uncultured bacterium
Lineage: Bacteria
Description: partial 16S ribosomal RNA
Rfam family: Bacterial small subunit ribosomal RNA
Source: RNAcentral